Molecule: long non-coding RNA, 1763 nt
Organism: Astatotilapia calliptera (eastern happy)
Lineage: Eukaryota; Metazoa; Chordata; Actinopteri; Cichliformes; Cichlidae
Source: Ensembl
CAAAGACUGGUAUAUACACAGUGCAGACUAAAGAAAUAUAACCCACUUGUUUAUAGAAGAUUGCUUUCAGUCCAAAGGGCUAAAGUAUGUGUGGAACAACAAUUUACAAGCAAAUCUACGGUAAUGUUUACUGGAAGCAAUUCUAAUCUCCUGCUCAAUUAGAAGCAUAAAGCCAGUUGAUAAUGACGGCAAGAGGUGGAAACAACUUCCUAAUGAAUUCAAACCCCUCAGAGUGACAGUCCCCUUGCAUGAAUGAAUGUAAUUACAGCCUGUACAUUGGUGGUCUGACACACAGGCACUUUCCAGGAUUAUUCCCAGGCUCUGAGAGAACACACUGUGAAGAACACCGCGUGAUGCAUGUAUGCAAAUACACCUCGCAGCACUUCCAAAUAUAGUCUCCAUCCCGACAAAAUAUUUGUGAUUAGGGUGGGAAGGUGCUGAAAGCAGAAAAUAGAAGUUGACGAGCGUGUUCGUGGUGUGGAUUUGUGACCACACCUGAACAGAUAAGCAGCAGUUUUUAGUAUUUAAUCUUUAUUUUUUACAUUAAGAAGUCACUAUAACACUUUAUUUUAUAUCCCUUGAACAUCCACACAUCCAAAUCUGACCUACUUCAUGUGACAGCGCCGCACAUUAACCGAGCCACAGGAACAGCAUUAUGUGGAGACGUGUGACUAACGUGCAUGCACCAAUUGUAUGUUCACUCUCUUCCCCCUUGUAUUUAUACCUUUUUCAUCCUUUCCUUCCAUCCAUCCUUCCCUGUAGUUAUUCUGUUUCACAAUUUGUCAUGCUGCAACGAUAGGCUGAGGCAACGGGCACUAUGCUGGUGCCUGUGAGCCGAGCCUCUUAGGGGUUGAGAUAAAGUUAAGCUGACGUGUGGGUUCAGCUGCGUCACAGCGUCCUUUGAAACAGUCUCAGGGAGAAAAAAAAAAAAAAAAAAAAAGGAAAAAAGGAAGGCAAGGCAUGUUCCUCCAGAGGUGGCACCUCCUUACACUCCUCCUGGCAUGCAGCUGCUAGCUUUUGCCUUGGGCUGCUUCAUCUAACCUCACAUAGAAGAGAAGAAAUAGCAUAUCUCCCCCUCCUGAGUGAGACUUACAAUGGACACCCGCAAACACCAUCCAACCCUGCACUUAAAACGUGCUGAUUUGACAAGCCUGACAUUUCUGGGAGAUGUCCACAUUGCUGCUAUUAAAUCUCCAACAGCGAGUGGACCCAAAGCCACCAAGUUAAUUCCUAUUUAUAUAAGAAAUACAACAGAUUCACAGGUGUGCCAGAGGAAAGCUUCCUUAGGAACGCCAUUCCAGCUCUCAUUCUGGGGAGAAAAAAAAAAAAAGACAAAUCCAUCUCCUUCUCGUCUUUCUUCCCCCCACGCACAGUCUUUUCUUUCCCUUCAUGCCCAUCCCCCUCUUCAGCGGAGGAUUGGAGUGCCCUGGUAAAUAAUUGAGGCAUAUUCCCUGUCUGCUACUGUAGCUUCCCCCUAAUGCUUAUUUAUUUACAUUUUUUCUUUUGGCAUACUUCCAAAGAAUAUUUGGUUGUCCUGAUCUAGCAAUAAAAAGUGAUGAAAAUAAAUUGUGCUUUGUUUUCUGAUCAAUAGCUUCUGGAGCCCACGUAUGAUCACACACGGAUUGCUGGAUAUAGGAUCAGUUUAAAGAAAUGUAAAUAAUGGACUACAUAACCAUUCAAGUUCCCAUCAGUAAAUUUCUAUUGUUUAAUAUCUGAAACCUCAAACUAUUUCUUUUCCAGCUAAAUAGGUUCCUGAAACUGAC